GACGAACGCUGGCGGCGUGCCUAAUACAUGCAAGUGGAACGCACGAGGUACACCGUAGUUUACUACAUCGUACUUUGUGAGUCGCGAACGGGUGAGUAACGCGUAGGUGACCUACCUUUUAGCGGGGGAUAACUAUUGGAAACGAUAGCUAAUACCGCAUAGGAUAUCUUACUGCAUGGUAAGAUAUUAAAAGAUGCAAUUGCAUCACUAAGAGAUGGACCUGCGUUGUAUUAGCUAGUAGGUGAGGUAACGGCUCACCUAGGCAACGAUACAUAGCCGACCUGAGAGGGUGAUCGGCCACACUGGGACUGAGACACGGCCCAGACUCCUACGGGAGGCAGCAGUAGGGAAUCUUCGGCAAUGGGGGGAACCCUGACCGAGCAACGCCGCGUGAGUGAAGAAGGUUUUCGGAUCGUAAAGCUCUGUUGUAAGAGAAGAACGAGUGUGAGAGUGGAAA
RNAcentral lists this ribosomal RNA (457 nucleotides) under Streptococcus sinensis. Its description in RNAcentral is "bacterial SSU rRNA". It matches the Rfam family "Bacterial small subunit ribosomal RNA", at positions 28 to 464 of the family's 1533-position model. The record is from RNAcentral. Lineage: Bacteria; Bacillati; Bacillota; Bacilli; Lactobacillales; Streptococcaceae.